RNAcentral lists this ribosomal RNA (684 nucleotides) under Suillus umbonatus. RNAcentral's name for it is "eukaryotic LSU rRNA". The stretch from base 241 to 395 matches the Rfam family "5.8S ribosomal RNA". The record is from RNAcentral. Lineage: Eukaryota; Fungi; Basidiomycota; Agaricomycetes; Boletales; Suillaceae.
UCCGUAGGUGAACCUGCGGAAGGAUCAUUAAUGAAUUUAUAAUCCGGCGAGACGAAGGACGAGGACUGUCGCUGGCCUUCAACCGAGGCAUGUGCACGCUCUCUUCUGGACUUUCGCCGUAUGGGCGCGGGGCGACCCGCGUCUUCAUAUACCUCUUCGUGUAGAAAGUCUUCGAAUGUUUUUACCAUCAUCGAGUCGCGACUUCUAGGAGACGCGAUUCUUUGAGACAAAAGUUAUCACAACUUUCAGCAAUGGAUCUCUUGGCUCUCGCAUCGAUGAAGAACGCAGCGAAUCGCGAUAUGUAAUGUGAAUUGCAGAUCUACAGUGAAUCAUCGAAUCUUUGAACGCACCUUGCGCUCCUCGGUGUUCCGAGGAGCAUGCCUGUUUGAGCGUCAGUAAAUUCUCAACCCCUCUCGAUUUGCUUCGAGUGGGGCUUGGAUAGUGGGGGCUGCCGGAGACCUGAAAUUCAUUUCGGGACUCGGGCUCCUCUGAAAUGCAUCGGCUUGCGGUCGACUUUCGACUUUGCGCGACAAAGCUUUCGGCGUGAUAAUGAUCGCCGUUCGCUGAAGCGCAUCAAUGAACGGUCCCGUGCCUCUAAUCAGUCGACGCCUUCUGGGGCGUCUUCCUUAUAGACGUUUGACCUCAAAUCAGGUAGGACUACCCGCUGAACUUAAGCAUAUCAUA